UACGGGGGGGGCAAGCGUUGUUCGGAAUCACUGGGCGUAAAGCGCACGUAGGCGGCUUUCUAAGUCAGGGGUGAAAUCCUGGAGCUCAACUCCAGAACUGCCUUUGAUACUGGAGAGCUUGAGUCCGGAAGAGGUGAGUGGAACUCCGAGUGUAGAGGUGAAAUUCGUAGAUAUUCGGAAGAACACCAGUGGCGAAGGCGGCUCACUGGACUGGUAUUGACGCUGAGGUGCGAAAGCGUGGGGAGCAAACAGG
This 253-nucleotide ribosomal RNA is filed under the name uncultured bacterium. Its description in RNAcentral is "partial 16S ribosomal RNA". It matches the Rfam family "Bacterial small subunit ribosomal RNA", at positions 524 to 776 of the family's 1533-position model. The record is from RNAcentral.